GCGCCCGUAGCUCAGCUGGAUAGAGCGCCGCCCUCCGGAGGCGGAGGUCACAGGUUCGACUCCUGUCGGGCGCG
This 74-nucleotide transfer RNA is filed under the name Idiomarina abyssalis. RNAcentral's name for it is "tRNA-Arg". It matches the Rfam family "tRNA". From Rfam's summary of the family: Transfer RNA (tRNA) molecules are approximately 80 nucleotides in length. RNAcentral also lists the same sequence under 4 other names. The record is from RNAcentral. Lineage: Bacteria; Pseudomonadati; Pseudomonadota; Gammaproteobacteria; Alteromonadales; Idiomarinaceae.